UGGAGCAAUCCAUGAGUAAAGUGGCGACCGGGUGAGUAACACGUGACUAACCUACCUUCGAGUGGGGGAUAACAUCGGGAAACCGAUGCUAAUACCGCAUAACAUCGCAAGAUCAAAGCAGCAAUGCGCUUGAAGAGGGGGUCGCGGCUGAUUAGCUAGUUGGUAGGGUAAUGGCCUACCAAGGCUUAGAUCGGUAGCCGGCCUGAGAGGGCGCACGGCCACACUGGAACUGAAACACGGUCCAGACUCCUACGGGAGGCAGCAGUGGGGAAUUUUGCGCAAUGGGGGAAACCCUGACGCAGCAACGCCGCGUGGAGGAUGAAGUCCCUUGGGACGUAAACUCCUUUCGACCGGGAAGAUACUGACGGUACCGGAAGAAGAAGCACCGGCUAACUCUGUGCCAGCAGCCGCGGUAAUACAGAGGGUGCGAGCGUUGUUCGGAAUUAUUGGGCGUAAAGGGCGCGUAGGCGGCGCGGUAUGUCACCUGUGAAAUCUCCUGGCUCAACUGGGAGCUUGCAGGCGAAACUGCCGUGCUGGAGUGUGGGAGAGGUGCGUGGAAUUCCUGGUGUAGCGGUGAAAUGCGUAGAUAUCAGGAGGAACACCUGUGGCGAAAGCGGCGCACUGGACCACAACUGACGCUGAGGCGCGAA
RNAcentral lists this ribosomal RNA (650 nucleotides) under uncultured bacterium. RNAcentral describes it as "bacterial SSU rRNA". It matches the Rfam family "Bacterial small subunit ribosomal RNA", at positions 75 to 757 of the family's 1533-position model. The record is from RNAcentral.